AGGACGAACGCUGGCGGCGUGCUUAACACAUGCAAGUCGAACGGAAAGGCCCGCUUGCGGGUACUCGAGUGGCGAACGGGUGAGUAACACGUGGGCAACCUGCCCUCAGCUCUGGGAUAACUCCGGGAAACCGGUGCUAAUACUGGAUAUCAACUUUGCCUCGCAUGGGGUGUUGUUGAAAGUUUUUUCGGCUGGGGAUGGGCCCGCGGCCUAUCAGCUUGUUGGUGGGGUGAUGGCCUACCGAAGGCGACGACGGGUA
This 259-nucleotide ribosomal RNA is filed under the name uncultured soil bacterium. Its description in RNAcentral is "partial 16S ribosomal RNA". It matches the Rfam family "Bacterial small subunit ribosomal RNA", at positions 26 to 285 of the family's 1533-position model. The record is from RNAcentral.